This is a long non-coding RNA of Patella vulgata (common limpet), 831 nucleotides long. RefSeq lists it as uncharacterized. The record is from RefSeq and is a predicted model, not a curated record. NCBI's taxonomy places the organism in Eukaryota, Metazoa, Mollusca, Gastropoda, Patellidae. The transcript has 3 exons.
UUGGGUUGUAUGGUGAUUUUAUCCAUGGCAUGUGUAUGGCAUGCUGUAAUUAGUUUUAUUACAUCAGAUUCAAUGGCCCUCACUUUAGACUUUGCAGCAUUUAUCUGUCUAGUCACGGGUUUCGUUCUAUUUCAUCUGGUAUUUGGUCUCAUUGUGUACAUCAUGUUGGAAUUAAAGAGGAUAAGCAAUGACAAAGCUGAGAAAUUGUAUCAGGAGAAAGCUGUAGCUAUGUAUCCGGAAGUCUAUACCCAAAAAUUAAGAAGAAGGGCUUUGUUUAAUAGAAACAAGAGAGGUGCAAGAAUAACUUCAGUGCCAAUAUAAUAAACGUUUUUGGGAAUGUGUUGCGAUAGUGACGUAGUGCGAAAACAUCAUCACAUAUCUGUGUAUUAUGAUAUCCAGGUUUAUGGGGACAUGUUGUGAAUCUUAUAUGUAUGAUAAUAUCCAGAUUUAUUGGGACAUGUAGUUUAUGAUAUAUAUGUACAUGAUGAUAUCCAGGUUUAUUGGGACAUGGUGUGAAUCAUAUAUCUGUGUAUGGUGAUAUCCAGGUUAAAGGAGACAUGUGAAUCAUAUAAUUAUGUAUGGUUAUAUCCAGGUUUAUGGGGACAUGUUUUGAAUCAUAUAUCUAUGUAUGAUGAUAUCCAGGUUUAUUGGAACACGAUCUGGUACCUGCAGACACGUUCGGAUACGUUUCCAUACGAUCAACACGAUUGCUACGACUGACCUCAAUAUAUGAUAAGACUUGAUAGGAUCAGCACGAUUACCAAACAAUUAAAACCACGACUUCUAUCGUGAUAGUAUAGUGGGAACCACCUAGCAUACCCCCCCCCCCUC